This 1143-nucleotide long non-coding RNA is filed under the name Oryctolagus cuniculus (rabbit). Its description in RNAcentral is "lncRNA (ENSOCUG00000036804.1)". Lineage: Eukaryota; Metazoa; Chordata; Mammalia; Lagomorpha; Leporidae. The record is from RNAcentral.
CGCGCAGGGUCCACUAUCCAAACACCGAAACCUCGCGCUGGUCCCCGCGCCCCCAUUGGCCGCGCUCGCGCGAGCCGGCGACGCCGGAGAGCCGGGAGCCAAUGGGCGCGCGGCUCGCGAGCCCGUCAGCGAGCACGGCUCGGACUCCGUUGCUCUUUUGAGAACCUGCACAGCGCUUUGCCCGCCGCCCCGAGCCACACACCUAGCGCUGGGGUCCCGGUGUCCACAAUCACGAGACGUCUCCAACCUGUCUCUUGUUGAAUGUCAGAGUAAUGGGAAGUGCCAGUGACAAGACGGCGUAUUACUCCUGAUUAAGUGCCGUGUCAACCUAAUUAGCAGAGUAAUUAUAAGGUGCUAAUGAAUGAUUCAAAGUUCUUUGAGUUACAUUUUACUCCAAAUUACCAUUUUAAGAACCCAAUGAAUCUGCGUGGCUGCCAUCUCUUCCGUGACUAGAUGCGGAAUGGUUUUUAGAAAAUGGCCUUUAAUGCCUCCCAGGGCUGGGCCCAAAGCUGGGGUUUCUUGCGAUCGUUUUCUGGGGACAGCUUUCUUUCAGAGGGGACGUGGGAGGGGUGUCCGUCCGGGAGGUCGCAGAGUAGGCGCUGUCUUUCGGUGGGAACCGCGUGGGCGCGCGCCCCGAGUCUGGAGGGGUACUUGGGACACCCGUCCUCCCUCGGUUUUCCUCUGGAAAUGAAGGUGCCCCCCCCCACCCCCAGAAAGAGUCCACGCCGCUUCGGGGGUGUGUUGAGCCGUUUCGUGAUUCUCUUCGCUCCGUGCUUCGCUGGGCUGUCUCGGAGGAGAACAGCGGGGAGAGGAGGGACGGAGGCGAGGAGAAGUACAAUCGGACAGCUCUCGCUUUUCUCGGAAGGCCUGGGCAGUUUGGCGGCGAGGCCCGGGAUGACAAUGCCAACUGACGGAAAUGAGGUGCAAAGGCGUUUCCUUCCACUGGGCGGCGCCAAGAGCCCCGGACCAGGGAGCCGGCUAUUGUUUCUAGAAAAGAUGCAAGAUACACAAAUAAGCUUUCCACCGUCUAAGGCUGACUCCCUGACGACCUCUCGCCAUUUCAAAGCUGCAGAAACAUCAGAAAUUGUCUUCCCUUUUUUCUCCUCAAUUCAUCGAUAUAUUUCCAACUGCCUAAGGACUUGA